GUGGAUUAGAUACCCUGGUAGUCCACGCUGUAAACGAUGGGCACUAGAUGCCGGUCCUAUAGACGGGUUCGGUGUCGUAGCUAACGCAUUAAGUGCCCCGCCUGGGGAGUACGGCCGCAAGGCUGAAACUCAAAGGAAUUGACGGGGGCCCGCACAAGCGGUGGAGCAUGUGGUUUAAUUCGAAGCAACGCGAAGAACCGUACCUAGGCUUGACAUACAUGUGAAACACCCUGGAAACAGGGUGCCUCCUUCGGGACGCAUGUACAGGUGCUGCAUGGUUGUCGUCAAAU
RNAcentral lists this ribosomal RNA (290 nucleotides) under uncultured bacterium. Its description in RNAcentral is "partial 16S ribosomal RNA". It matches the Rfam family "Bacterial small subunit ribosomal RNA", at positions 773 to 1060 of the family's 1533-position model. The record is from RNAcentral.